UGGACGAAAACUGNCGCUGAGGCGCGAAAGCCAGGGGAGCGAACGGGAUUAGAUACCCCGGUAGUCCUGGCCGUAAACGAUGGGUACUAGGUGUAGGAGGUAUCGACCCCUUCUGUGCCGGAGUUAACGCAAUAAGUACUCCGCCUGGGGAGUACGACCGCAAGGUUGAAACUCAAAGGAAUUGACGGGGGCCCGCACAAGCGGUGGAGUAUGUGGUUUAAUUCGACGCAACGCGAAGAACCUUACCAGGUCUUGACAUUGAUGGACAGAACCAGAGAUGGUUCCUCUUCUUCGGAAGCCAGAAAACAGGUGGUGCACGGUUGUCGUCAGCUCGUGUCGUGAGAUGUUGGGUUAAGUCCCGCAGCGAGCGCAACCCCUAUCUUAUGUUGCCAGCACUUUGGGUGGGGACUCAUGAGAGACUGCCGCAGACAAUGCGGAGGAAGGCGGGGAUGACGUCAAAUCAUCAUGCCCCUUAUGACCUGGGCUACACACGUACUACAAUGGGAGUUAAUAGACGGAAGCGAGAUCGCGAGAUGGAGCAAACCCGAGAAACACUCUCUCAGUUCGAAUCGUAGGCUGCAACUCGCCUACGUGAAGUCGGAAUCGCUAGUAAUCGCAGGUCAGCAUACUGCGGUGAAUACGUUCCCGGGCCUUGUACACACCGCCCGUCACACCACGAAAGUCGGAAGUGCCCAAAGCCGGUGGGGUAAC
Molecule: ribosomal RNA, 711 nt
Filed under: uncultured bacterium
Lineage: Bacteria
Description: bacterial SSU rRNA
Rfam family: Bacterial small subunit ribosomal RNA
Source: RNAcentral